RNAcentral lists this ribosomal RNA (254 nucleotides) under uncultured bacterium. RNAcentral describes it as "partial 16S ribosomal RNA". It matches the Rfam family "Bacterial small subunit ribosomal RNA", at positions 524 to 776 of the family's 1533-position model. The record is from RNAcentral.
UACGAAGGGGGCUAGCGUUGCUCGGAUUUACUGGGCGUAAAGGGCGCGUAGGCGGGCUGUCCAGUCUGGGGUGAAAUCCCGCGGCUCAACCGUGGAACUGCCUCAGAUACUGACGGCUUCGAGGGAGAUAGGGGCAUGCGGAACUGUAGGUGGAGCGGUGAAAUGCGUUGAUAUCUACAGGAACUCCGGUGGCGAAGGCGGCGUGCUGGAUCUCUUCGUGACGCUGAGGCGCGAAAGCUAGGGGAGCAAACGGG